GAUGAACGCUAGCGGCAGGCCUAAUACAUGCAAGACGAACGGUAAGUUGAGUAGCAAUACUUAGCCAAGAGUGUCGUACGGGUGCGUAACACGUAUGCAACCUACCCUAUACAGGAGGAUAGCCUAGGGAAACCUGGAUUAACCCUUCAUAGUAUUAUUGGAUGGCAUCAUUUGAUAAUUAAGACUGAGGUGGUAUAGGAUGGGCAUGCGUCUGAUUAGUUAGUUGGCGGGGUAAUGGCCCACCAAGACGAUGAUCAGUAGGGGUUCUGAGAGGAAGAUCCCCCACACUGGCACUGAGAUACGGGCCAGACUCCUACGGGAGGCAGCAGUAGGGAAUAUUGGUCAAUGGAUGCAAGUCUGAACCAGCCAUGCCGCGUGCAGGAAGAAGGCCUUCUGGGUUGUAAACUGCUUUUGCCAGGGGAUAAAAUUUCCAUGCGUGGAAAACUGAAGGUACCUGGUGAAUAAGCCACGGCUAACUAACGUGCCAGCAGCCGCGGUAA
RNAcentral lists this ribosomal RNA (500 nucleotides) under uncultured bacterium. Its description in RNAcentral is "bacterial SSU rRNA". It matches the Rfam family "Bacterial small subunit ribosomal RNA", at positions 28 to 523 of the family's 1533-position model. The record is from RNAcentral.